CCUACGGGGUGCAGCAGUGGGGAAUAUUGGACAAUGGGGGGAACCCUGAUCCAGCGACGCCGCGUGAGUGAAGAAGUAUUUCGGUAUGUAAAGCUCUAUCAGCAGGGAAGAAAGAAAUGACGGUACCUGACUAAUAAGCCCCGGCUACCUACGUGCAAGCAGCCGCGGUAAUCCGUAGGGGGCAAGCGUUAUCCGGAUUUACUGGGUGUAAAGGGAGCGUAGACGGUUACGCAAGUCUGGAGUGAAAGGCGGGGGCCCAACCCCCGGACUGCUUUGGAAACUGUAUAACUGGAGUGCAGGAGAGGUAAGUGGAAUUCCUAGUGGAGCGGUGAAAUGCGUAGAUAUUAGGAAGAACACCAGUGGCGAAGGCGGCUUACUGGACUGUAACUGACGUUGAGGCUCGAAAGCGUGGGGAGCAAACAGGAUUAGAUACCCGGGUAGUC
This 443-nucleotide ribosomal RNA is filed under the name uncultured bacterium. RNAcentral describes it as "partial 16S ribosomal RNA". It matches the Rfam family "Bacterial small subunit ribosomal RNA", at positions 338 to 795 of the family's 1533-position model. The record is from RNAcentral.